UAGAGAAGAGAGGGAGUGAAAACAGCGCUGAAGGGGUAAUAAUGGAUGGCAGAGGAAAAGAGAGUGUAUUGGCUGAACAGAUUAUGUUGGUGAAGGAGAGAGAGGGCAGAGUAGAGAGCGAGAGAGGGGAGAAAGAGAUAGAGAGAGAGAGCAGAAGAGAGAGAGAGAGAGAGAGAGAGAAAUUUGACCCCAAUAACUACCGUGGGAUAUGCGUCAACAGCAACCUUGGGAAAAUCCUCUGCAUUAUCAUUAACAGCACGGUUGUAAAUGUCCUCAGUGAAAUAAAACACACACAUUUCUUUCCACAGGACAUUGGGUUGAGACAGGGAUGCAGCUUAAGCCCCACCCUCUUCAACAUAUAUAUAAACGACUUGGAGAGGGCACUAGUACAGUUAGCAGUACCCGGCCUCACCCUACAGGAAUCUGAAGUCAAAUGUCUACUGU
Molecule: long non-coding RNA, 444 nt
Filed under: Salmo salar (Atlantic salmon)
Lineage: Eukaryota; Metazoa; Chordata; Actinopteri; Salmoniformes; Salmonidae
Description: lncRNA (ENSSSAG00000093865.1, ENSSSAG00000097389.1)
Source: RNAcentral